AGCCUGAUGCAGCGACGCCGCGUGAGGGAUGGAGGCCUUCGGGUUGUGAACCUCUUUCGCCAGUGAAGCAGGCCUGCUCCUUUUUUGUGGGUGGGUUGACGGUAGCUGGAUAAGAAGCGCCGGCUAACUACGUGCCAGCAGCCGCGGUAAUACGUAGGGCGCGAGCGUUGUCCGGAAUUAUUGGGCGUAAAGAGCUCGUAGGCGGCUGGUCGCGUCUGUCGUGAAAUCCUCUGGCUUAACUGGGGGCUUGCGGUGGGUACGGGCCGGCUUGAGUGCGGUAGGGGAGGCUGGAACUCCUGGUGUAGCGGUGGAAUGCGCAGAUAUCAGGAAGAACACCGGUGGCGAAGGCGGGUCUCUGGGCCGUUACUGACGCUGAGGAGCGAAAGCGUGGGGAGCGAACAGGAUUAGAUACCCUGGUAGUCCACGCCGUAAACGUUGGGCACUAGGUGUGGGGGGCCUUUUCCGGGUCUUCCGCGCCGUAGCUAACGCAUUAAGUGCCCCGCCUGGGGAGUACGGGCGCAAGGCUAAAACUCAAAGGAA
RNAcentral lists this ribosomal RNA (540 nucleotides) under Actinomyces sp. oral taxon 171. RNAcentral describes it as "bacterial SSU rRNA". It matches the Rfam family "Bacterial small subunit ribosomal RNA", at positions 380 to 909 of the family's 1533-position model. Lineage: Bacteria; Bacillati; Actinomycetota; Actinomycetes; Actinomycetales; Actinomycetaceae. The record is from RNAcentral.